CUGCGCCACGAAGCCGCACGUUCUGAGGGUUACACACGCACACCACAAUCCGUUCAGUACACGGUACACCGCACGAAAGAACGAACGGCAGAUAUAGAUAGACUUUCUAUGUGUGUACACACGGGACUAUACAAACUGCAAGUGUGUACGCGUAGGAGAAACAGCACACACAGACACACGAACGUAACGGUGUGUAGUAAUAACAACGAGCACGCAGGCCAACGAGAAACGAAUGUGCCUCCCGUGGGACACGAUUAAACGACGUUCUUCUAGACCGGCAGAGAGAAAAGGCGCCCGCACCCGAACCUCUCACCUCGUCACGAUGUUUCUACUAUCACCCGAGACGGUCGCGGCCCGUUCGAACACUCUGGCCACGUUAAAAUAAACGCGGAGCGCUAUACCCAGCGCACGGUGCUCUUGAAAAUCAAUCUAAAAGUGGAUCGGCUGGUGGCGCAAUCUCCUGGCUAACCUCUGGACCGACUCGCGAACAAGUGAACGACGCCUGCCGUACUGAUAACGAACAGUGUCUCUACUUUUGCCUUAUCGCGAUGCGCGCGCAUCCGUCCCCCGACCUCCCACACCGCCCAUCCACGAACGUUUCUCAGCCAUGAUCAGCAGUUUUCGUUUCGUUAAAUCUUUGCUCACGAUAUCUCUUUCCUUUUUCUUUAUUUCACGUUAUUUUUCCUCAUUUAAUGAUCAAGUGUUUUCCUCGCUUAAAUCUUUUUAAAUUUCUAGCUUGCGUUCGUUAAGUUCGGUGCUCUGUGUGCGUUUCGAAGUUGAAAACGCUGACGUUCGCUCCUUUCUACAAAUGUAUAGACAUUUUUGUUAUUUAUAAUGUUAUGUAUAAUAUUUUUGUUAUUUCCUAUAUGCUAUAGUUACUUAUAAUGGGUGUUAUAAUGUUAAUUUUCAAUAGCUUAUAACUAGAUUGCAGAUGCUUAUUAUAUAGGUUCAAGUGUACAAAAAUGUACAAAAUAUCUAUGUUUAUAAUAUUUAGGAGAUCCUAUUUUGUUAGUUGUAUUUCAUAAAAAUAUAGAUUUGCAUAAAUAUGUUCAGUCUACUUACAACCGCACAAUCUAAAACAGUGAAUCAAUGAAAAAAAGUAUAAGUAAAAGUCGUAUAAAAGAUGUAAAGUUAUUAGAUUAAUGGAAGUAUCGUAUAUCACGUAAUCAAUCAUUGGUCAAUGAUUAUAUGCAUGAAAAUAAACUAAGAUUCAUAUAUUUAUGUGAAGAAACUUCUACUAUAUUGAAUACUCAAAUACUUUAUAUAUCAUUAUUUAUGUACAAAUUCAUGAAAUAUAAAGCAGAUUACAGCUUUAAUGACUUAUGCUGCAUAAUAAUACUUCAGGAGUGGAAGACCACCUACGAUGCCUAGCUUUUUCCGCUGGUACCACCGGUAAACCCACCUCUUGAUGACAACCUCUUAUAGGAGAAAUUGGCAGAACGUUAGGUACUAAGGUGUUAAAAAUGGCAGUGGAAUAUUUUUCGUGGACAGACGGUGAAGUAUUCAAGGAAUGGGGAUAAGUUGCCAUUGCAAUGUUUCAACCUGUGUCUGCAAGAAAACAUUGUCUACUACUUGUACGUGAGGUAUUUGAUUGGUCGCUAAAAUGUUCUGAAGUCUUCGGUUCUCUUCUAUCAACGAUCGGUAUUGCUGAAACAAAAAACAAAAAUGACGAAAUUAGUUAACGAUAAUUAUCGGUGUUUUCUUUUUAAAUUCAAUUUCUUACUUUUAUCGCACUUUAAGUUUAACGAGGAAAGUGUCCAGCUCUCGAACGACUUUCCUGAACGUAAUCGUUUCAAAAGAAGAAAGAAGCGACGUGGUACGACGUAUAUACACGCGUUAAUACAAGGUUUCACCUUGCGUAGGAGAUUUUCACACGGUGGAGUGAACACGAUUCGACGUUAGCAGAGCGUAUGCCUAUUUAUUUUACGGACAUUGCUUUACCAACAGCGGUAUAUUUUAUUUUAAAUAAUACAUUGCUCUAAUCACCGUUAAACGUAAGAGAAACGUUAAAUAUUUGCAUCAUUAAUUACCUUAAACUUUUUGUCGAUUAUCUAAUUAAUAUUCUAGCGUCUUCAUUUUAUAAAAUAAUAUUCCAGGUACAAUAUUGCAUAAGUCUAUGAAAUACAAAUGUAUACAACCGUAUUAACAUAUUAAACAUAUUAUACAAAAUGUAUAAUAAAAUAAUAAGAUUUAAAGGUGAACUCUAGAUAAAUAAAUUAAGGAAGAAAUAUUCCGGAAUUUGUAUUAAAUUUAUUAUAUGCUUAUUAAUAUGACUACCAGGUUUCUAAUUGAUAUUCUAGAGCUAUUAUUUUAUAAAAUAAUAUUCUACAGAAUUUCCAGCAAAUUUAUUACCACGAUAUUCCAAAAUUUCCUUUAGACCUAAUCAACCUUCUAAAAUAUCUGCUAGAUUUCUGACUAUUAUCCUGAAGAACUUAUUUACAUCCUGAAACAACAUUUCAGGAUUUUCGCUAGAAUUACAGCCAAUAUCAACAAAUAUUUAACAUAUCCGUGAUAAAUAUUUAAAAAAUCUCCUGCUAAACUCGUAUCAUCAAGAAACAUCCAAUAACGGAUCAAUAGCAAAUUUCCCCCCCAAGAAUAGAAAUCUUUACCAUACUGAAAAUAAUCAAACAACCCAACAUUAAUGAUCCUAUUCGGUCAACAUCCUCGGAAGUCUUUUAAAACGCCAUCUAAUACACCCCAACAGAAUUCUAAUAGAAGUCGAAUAGAAAACGCACAAAGAGGACUGGAGUUUUCCGCGAGUCCAGUCACGAAGUCGUCAUUGAGCAAACAAUUAGACAUCGGCGAACAGUUACUUGGACAAGUUGAAAAGGUUCGAGCAUCGAUGAUGCACCGCCAUUCGAACGGAUAGGCCCUUUAACAUUUGCAUAUUUCUUUCUUUUCGGUGGCCGAGUCGCGGACACCGGGAAUAAAAGAAGUUCGAAGAAACACGAGGUUUCUGACAUUUCCAUACAAUGGCGGGAAAAAUACGGUACGAGUUGCGAGAUAUCCGGCGAUGGGCCAUGCCUGAUAACGAAGCCAGGACGCGCGAGAUGUUGAAAGAAUCAUGCGUUCAUCGUUCGGUCGCCACGCGUUCAACUAUCACUGUUAUUAGAAUCAUCAG
This is a long non-coding RNA of Bombus pyrosoma, 3121 nucleotides long. RefSeq lists it as uncharacterized. Lineage: Eukaryota; Metazoa; Arthropoda; Insecta; Hymenoptera; Apidae. The record is from RefSeq and is a predicted model, not a curated record. The transcript has 5 exons.